This 253-nucleotide ribosomal RNA is filed under the name uncultured bacterium. RNAcentral describes it as "partial 16S ribosomal RNA". It matches the Rfam family "Bacterial small subunit ribosomal RNA", at positions 524 to 776 of the family's 1533-position model. The record is from RNAcentral.
UACGUAGGGUGCAAGCGUUGUCCGGAAUCAUUGGGCGUAAAGCGCGCGUAGGUGGUCAUGUAAGUCCGCUGUGAAAGUCAAAGGCUCAACCUUUGAAAGCCGGUGGAUACUGCAUGACUAGAGUACGGAAGAGGCGAGUGGAAUUCCUGGUGUAGCGGUGGAAUGCGCAGAUAUCAGGAGGAACACCAAUAGCGAAGGCAGCUCGCUGGGACGUUACUGACACUGAGGCGCGAAAGCGUGGGGAGCGAACAGG